Molecule: long non-coding RNA, 537 nt
Organism: Mauremys reevesii (Reeves's turtle)
Lineage: Eukaryota; Metazoa; Chordata; Testudines; Geoemydidae
Exons: 5
Source: RefSeq, a predicted model, not a curated record
AAGCAAGUAUCUAGAGAGCAGACACCCUGCCCAAGUCAGAUUUCAUUGGAAACCUUCCUUUGUGGGGAUUAACCCCAGCACCUGCUAUUUGUUGGAGGAAAACACUGAAUUUCCUUAGGAGACUUUUGGGAUUUACCCAUGCACACUGAAUUUUCUCCUCUGGAGUGAUGUAAAGGCUUUGAACUGCCAUUUGAAGAUGGAGUGAAUGAUUUCUAGUCUUGCCUAAGACAGAGGAUUUGGAGGCUUGUUAGCGAUGCUGUCCCUGUGCGGAGAUAAGGAACGCUUCCAGCAGAACCGAAAGACAACAGGGGUAACUAAUGCAAAUCCCCAAUACUGAAACAAAGCAGACAGGCCGGUGAAAAUCUUCAGACAAUUACCAGGCAGCGUGAGGAGGGCUUCUCUGCGGCGACUGCAGUGAAUGCAGGAUACUAAAGCAGUCGUGACAGUGCACAAAGCUCAAGCUCACCCUGCUGCAUCUCUGCCUUAGUCCUGGUGAGUCGCAAAUGUCUCCUGCUACUCUACUUCGGAGCUUCUGCC